UGCCUUGAAAUUCCCCGCCGCCGUCCCCAUAAUGUUGAGCAUGGUUGUAAUUCCGGCAAUCUGGAGGCGUUCUGGACAGGGGUUCGAUUCCCCUCACCUCCACCCAAGGGCAUUCAAAGGGUAUUCGGCGAGUGUGUUUGGUUGGGGGUGUACUGGCUUCGACAGGGCGGGCAAAGGUGCGCAGGCAACCCGAAAGGUGACGGACGUAAUCCGCACAAAUCCAUAAACGCCAACGAUGAGCGUUUCGCUGUCGCCGCCUAACCGGCACAGCUGGGGCCGCUGAAGCCUUAUUACCCAAGACAGCCGGCGGGGACUUCGGUCCCCGUCGUC
This 330-nucleotide transfer-messenger RNA is filed under the name uncultured Azonexus sp. RNAcentral's name for it is "Betaproteobacteria transfer-messenger RNA". It matches the Rfam family "Betaproteobacteria transfer-messenger RNA". Rfam says of the family: Bacterial tmRNA, also known as 10Sa RNA or SsrA, is named for its dual tRNA and mRNA-like properties. The record is from RNAcentral. Lineage: Bacteria; Pseudomonadati; Pseudomonadota; Betaproteobacteria; Rhodocyclales; Azonexaceae.